This 407-nucleotide ribosomal RNA is filed under the name uncultured bacterium. Its description in RNAcentral is "partial 16S ribosomal RNA". It matches the Rfam family "Bacterial small subunit ribosomal RNA", at positions 30 to 526 of the family's 1533-position model. The record is from RNAcentral.
AUUGAACGCUGGCGGCAGGCCUAACACAUGCAAGUCGAGCGGAGCGGCGGACGGGUGAGUAAUGCCUAGGAAUCUGCCUGGUAGUGGGGGAUAACGUCCGGAAACGGGCGCUAAUAUCGCAUACUAUCAGAUGAGCCUAGGUUGGAUUAGCUAGUUGGUGGGGUAAAGGCCUACCAAGGCGACGAUCCGUAACUGGUCUGAGAGGAUGAUCAGUCACACUGGAACUGAGACACGGUCCAGACUCCUACGGGAGGCAGCAGUGGGGAAUAUUGGACAAGGGGCGAAAGCCUGAUCGAGCCAUGCCGCGUGUGUGAAGAAGGUCUUCGGAUUGUAAAGCACUUGAAGUUGGGAGGCGUUACCAACAGAGUAAGCACCGGCUAACUUCGUGCCAGCAGCCGCGGUAAUUC